RNAcentral lists this ribosomal RNA (250 nucleotides) under uncultured prokaryote. RNAcentral describes it as "partial 16S ribosomal RNA". It matches the Rfam family "Bacterial small subunit ribosomal RNA", at positions 524 to 773 of the family's 1533-position model. The record is from RNAcentral.
UACGUAGGGGGCGAGCGUUGUCCGGAAUGAUUGGGCGUAAAGGGCGCGUAGGCGGCCUGUUAAGUCCGAAGUGAAAGUCCUGUUUUUAAGAUGGGAAUUGCUUUGGAUACUGAUGGGCUUGAGUGCAGGAGAGGUAAUUGGAAUUCCCAGUAUAGCGGUGAAAUGCGUAGAGAUUGGGAGGAACACCAGUGGCGAAGGCGACUUACUGGACUGUAACUGACGCUGAGGCGCGAAAGUGUGGGGAGCGAAC